Molecule: non-coding RNA, 114 nt
Organism: Caerostris extrusa
Lineage: Eukaryota; Metazoa; Arthropoda; Arachnida; Araneae; Araneidae
Source: the annotation of a GenBank genome assembly
GACGACCAUACCAUGCUGAAUAUACCAGUUCUCGUUAGACCACCCGAAGUCAAUCAUCAUUGGGCGCGGUCAGUACUUGGGUGUUGUGACCACCUGGGGACACCGCGUGCCGUU